This 728-nucleotide ribosomal RNA is filed under the name Pseudomonadaceae bacterium. Its description in RNAcentral is "bacterial SSU rRNA". It matches the Rfam family "Bacterial small subunit ribosomal RNA", at positions 78 to 802 of the family's 1533-position model. The record is from RNAcentral. Lineage: Bacteria; Pseudomonadati; Pseudomonadota; Gammaproteobacteria; Pseudomonadales; Pseudomonadaceae.
GCUUGCUCUCUGAUUCAGCGGCGGACGGGUGAGUAAUGCCUAGGAAUCUGCCUGAUAGUGGGGGACAACGUUUCGAAAGGAACGCUAAUACCGCAUACGUCCUACGGGAGAAAGCAGGGGACCUUCGGGCCUUGCGCUAUCAGAUGAGCCUAGGUCGGAUUAGCUAGUUGGUGAGGUAACGGCUCACCAAGGCGACGAUCCGUAACUGGUCUGAGAGGAUGAUCAGUCACACUGGAACUGAGACACGGUCCAGACUCCUACGGGAGGCAGCAGUGGGGAAUAUUGGACAAUGGGCGAAAGCCUGAUCCAGCCAUGCCGCGUGUGUGAAGAAGGUCUUCGGAUUGUAAAGCACUUUAAGUUGGGAGGAAGGGCAUUAACCUAAUACGUUAGUGUUUUGACGUUACCGACAGAAUAAGCACCGGCUAACUUCGUGCCAGCAGCCGCGGUAAUACGAAGGGUGCAAGCGUUAAUCGGAAUUACUGGGCGUAAAGCGCGCGUAGGUGGUUUGUUAAGUUGAAUGUGAAAGCCCCGGGCUCAACCUGGGAACUGCAUCCAAAACUGGCAAGCUAGAGUAUGGCAGAGGGUGGUGGAAUUUCCUGUGUAGCGGUGAAAUGCGUAGAUAUAGGAAGGAACACCAGUGGCGAAGGCGACCACCUGGGCUAAUACUGACACUGAGGUGCGAAAGCGUGGGGAGCAAACAGGAUUAGAUACCCUGGUAGUCCACGCCG